This 30-nucleotide non-coding RNA is filed under the name Homo sapiens (human). Lineage: Eukaryota; Metazoa; Chordata; Mammalia; Primates; Hominidae. The record is from RNAcentral.
GCAAUGGUUAGGCCAGGUGCAGAUGGCUCA